Long non-coding RNA from Fukomys damarensis (Damara mole-rat), 572 nucleotides. RefSeq lists it as uncharacterized. The transcript is spliced from 3 exons. NCBI's taxonomy places the organism in Eukaryota, Metazoa, Chordata, Mammalia, Rodentia, Bathyergidae. The record is from RefSeq and is a predicted model, not a curated record.
CAGAAAGGAAACGGAUGCGACCUAGACGACUGCCACGAAAAUGAAAGACGGGUUUGACUUUGGCCUUAUCCAGAGGUAAUACCUUGGCAAAGACUUGAUGAUCUGAUGGGUACAGUAACUGAUGAAGACAUCUGGGGGAAGAGCCAAGAUCCUGCUUGCGGCAGUGAGGAAGCAGGGUGACAAGAGUAGUGUGUUGGGAGGAGCACAGACGGCGAAAUCAAAGAGUCAAUAGGUUCUUCUAUACUGACUUCAAAAAGAGUACUUAUCUAAAGGAUCCUGUACAACGGGGACAUAACUACUUCAGGGAAGAUAACAUGAGGAAUUUAACAGAAAUGUCUGUCUGCCUACCUCUUAGGAGAUGGUGGUUUUUCUGGAAAAUAUAAAAAGCAAAGGGGUCAUUUGCAUGUAUGACUUUCCAGAAAAUAAUAUAGAGACUUGAAACACGUUUUAAUCCUUUAAUUGGAAUUUCCACUUAAGCAUCUUCUGGUAUUAAUUCUAGAUCACUCUCUGCAGGUUAUAUGAAUAAACUUGAUCCCUCCUUGCUCCACACCAGCUUCCAUGGGGGUUUAUUG